GUAGGAUCCGAGCGUUAUCCGAAUUUACUGGGCGUAAAGCGCGUGCAGGCGGCGCGAUAAGUUGGAUGUGAAAGUUCCCGGCUCAACUGGGAGAGGACGUUCAAUACUGUCGGGCUAGAGGGCGGCAGAGGGAGGUGGAAUUCCCGGUGUAGUGGUGAAAUGCGUAGAUAUCGGGAGGAACACCAGUGGCGAAGGCGGCUCACUGGCUCGAUACUGACGCUGAGGUGCGAAAGUGUGGGGAGCAAACAGGAUUAGAUACCCUGGUAGUCCACACCGUAAACGAUGGAAGCUAGCUGUCAGAAUGUAUACAUUUUGGUGGCGCAGCUAACGCGUUAAGUGAUCCGCCUGGGACUACGACCGCAAGGUUA
RNAcentral lists this ribosomal RNA (368 nucleotides) under uncultured organism. Its description in RNAcentral is "partial 16S ribosomal RNA". It matches the Rfam family "Bacterial small subunit ribosomal RNA", at positions 527 to 896 of the family's 1533-position model. The record is from RNAcentral.